Hibiscus syriacus is the source of this 359-nucleotide long non-coding RNA. RefSeq lists it as uncharacterized. The record is from RefSeq and is a predicted model, not a curated record. Lineage: Eukaryota; Viridiplantae; Streptophyta; Magnoliopsida; Malvales; Malvaceae. The transcript has 4 exons.
UUGUGCCAUUGAGUGCUUUAUACUGACCUUCAUGUCUGUCUUGAUAUGUUUCCCUUAUAUUUUGAUAUUGCAUGUGCCUUUGUGGUUUCCAGUGCAGUUAAAGCACACCAGUUCUUCACAAAAGAAAGCUGGGAUACCUUUAAACAGAUUUUUGAUACCUUCAUGCUUGAAGCUUCAAAGGAAUGGGUUGAGACAUGUUGAGGCAGUUCACUCCUGGAAACAAUUUAUAAGGCUCUAGAUGAGGUUGUUAAACUCUCCGAGUGCGAAAUUUAUAGUUAUAAUCCAGAUUCCAAUGCAGAUCCAUUUCUAGAGAAAGGAGCUAUUAACUUGGUGGCUGAUGGUUUCGUUGCAGACAACUU